Molecule: ribosomal RNA, 253 nt
Filed under: uncultured bacterium
Lineage: Bacteria
Description: partial 16S ribosomal RNA
Rfam family: Bacterial small subunit ribosomal RNA
Source: RNAcentral
UACAGAGGUCCCAAGCGUUGUUCGGAUUUAUUGGGCGUAAAGGGUGCGUAGGCGGCGGAGUAAGUUGGGUGUGAAAUCCCGGGGCUCAACCUCGGAAUGGCAUUCAAUACUGCUUCGCUUGAGUACUGUAGAGGAGGCUGGAAUUUACGGUGUAGCAGUGAAAUGCGUAGAUAUCGUAAGGAAGGCCGGUGGCGAAAGCGAGCCUCUGGACAGUUACUGACGCUGAUGCACGAAGGCCAGGGGAGCAAACGGG